RNAcentral lists this ribosomal RNA (253 nucleotides) under uncultured bacterium. Its description in RNAcentral is "partial 16S ribosomal RNA". It matches the Rfam family "Bacterial small subunit ribosomal RNA", at positions 524 to 776 of the family's 1533-position model. The record is from RNAcentral.
UACGUAGGGGGCGAGCGUUGUCCGGAAUUAUUGGGCGUAAAGAGCGUGUAGGCGGCCAGAUAAGUCCGCUGUGAAAUCUCGAGGCUCAACUUCGAGCUGUCGGUGGAAACUAUCUGGCUAGAGUCCGGAAGAGGAGAAUGGAAUUCCUGGUGUAGCGGUGAAAUGCGCAGAUAUCAGGAAGAACACCCGUGGCGAAGGCGGUUCUCUGGGACGGUACUGACGCUGAGACGCGAAAGCGUGGGGAGCGAACAGG